UGCGGAAGGAUCAUUAAAGAGUAAGGGUGCUCAGCGCCCGACCUCCAAACCCUUUGUUGUUAAAACUACCUUGUUGCUUUGGCGGGACCGCUCGGUCUCGAGCCGCUGGGGAUUCGUCCCAGGCGAGCGCCCGCCAGAGUUAAACCAAACUCUUGUUAUUAAACCGGUCGUCUGAGUUAAAAUUUUGAAUAAAUCAAAACUUUCAACAACGGAUCUCUUGGUUCUCGCAUCGAUGAAGAACGCAGCGAAAUGCGAUAAGUAAUGUGAAUUGCAGAAUUCAGUGAAUCAUCGAAUCUUUGAACGCACAUUGCGCCCCUUGGUAUUCCGAGGGGCAUGCCUGUUCGAGCGUCAUUACACCACUCAAGCUAUGCUUGGUAUUGGGUGCCGUCCUUAGUUGGGCGCGCCUUAAAGACCUCGGCGAGGCCUCACCGGCUUUAGGCGUAGUAGAAUUUAUUCGAACGUCUGUCAAAGGAGAGGACUUCUGCCGACUGAAACCUUUUAUUUUUCUAGGUUGACCUCGGAUCAGGUAGGGAUACCCGCUGAACUUAAGCAUA
RNAcentral lists this ribosomal RNA (554 nucleotides) under Aureobasidium sp. RNAcentral's name for it is "eukaryotic LSU rRNA". The stretch from base 198 to 351 matches the Rfam family "5.8S ribosomal RNA". The record is from RNAcentral. Lineage: Eukaryota; Fungi; Ascomycota; Dothideomycetes; Dothideales; Saccotheciaceae.